Molecule: small nuclear RNA, 108 nt
Filed under: Salvator merianae (Argentine black and white tegu)
Lineage: Eukaryota; Metazoa; Chordata; Lepidosauria; Squamata; Teiidae
Source: RNAcentral
GUGUUUGCUUUGGCAGCACAUAUACUAAAAAAAAAUCAGAAAAAUACAGAGAAAAUUAGCAUGACUCCGGUGCAAGGAUGAUAUGAAAUUUGUAAAGCAUUCCUUUUU